UACGUAGGGGGCGAGCGUUGUCCGGAUUUAUUGGGCGUAAAGAGCGUGUAGGCGGCCAGGUAGGUCUGCUGUGAAAACUCGAGGCUCAACCUCGAGAUGUCGGCUGAAACCAUCUGGCUAGAGUCCGGAAGAGGAGAAUGGAAUUCCCGGUGUAGCGGUGAAAUGCGCAGAUAUCGGGAAGAACACCCGUGGCGAAGGCGGUUCUCUGGGACGGUACUGACGCUGAGACGCGAAAGCGUGGGGAGCGAACAGG
RNAcentral lists this ribosomal RNA (253 nucleotides) under uncultured bacterium. Its description in RNAcentral is "partial 16S ribosomal RNA". It matches the Rfam family "Bacterial small subunit ribosomal RNA", at positions 524 to 776 of the family's 1533-position model. The record is from RNAcentral.